GUCGGGACGAGUUGGGAGGAGGAGGAGGCGGGGUCGGCCCCAGGGGCGCCCUGGAUGCGAGCAAAAGCGAGUCCAGCAUGCGAGAUCCUCGUUCCCUGACGAAGGAUUGAACCCGUACCCCCUGCCGUGGAAACACAGAGUCCCGACCACUGGCUUGCUGGGAAGUCUCUCUUUGUGUCCCCACUGGAAAGAACUUCUCAUCCAGGAUUUCUGGGGCGGCCGUUGGCCCUGCUCUGCCGCCGCUGCCCGCUGUCCUGCGCUUCCUGUCACUCUGAGGCAGCACAAUCCUGGCCUUCCACGAAUAGAGGAAGCCAAACGGAGCAGGAAGGGAGGUAAACGCCCACGAGUGGAGCUGUCUCUGCCCCGCAGGUCAGCUUUGGGGUUUUGUCUCCUGCUUCACAACCAAGAAACGGGCUUUUGUUUUGCUCUUCUUGUGGUUAAUUUGAGAUCCUGGAUAUUCAAGGAGCCCCGAGGUGGAAGAGGGUGACUUAAGUCCGCAUUGGAGAGGGGAUCCUACAGCAGACGGCUCAGUAUGUGGGAACACCGGCCCCGGCCUUGCUGUUUGCAGGGCGGGAUUCCCGUGCCAGGGGUGGCACCCAGCUCAGGGCGCUCAGCUGAGAGUCUAAUGUGACUGUCCCCAUCCCAGCAGUUCUAGUUCAGGAAAACCAGCAGAGCCUUUGGUUGACAGCAUCCGGCUAAGGCAGACUGGGCACCAC
Molecule: long non-coding RNA, 716 nt
Organism: Budorcas taxicolor (takin)
Lineage: Eukaryota; Metazoa; Chordata; Mammalia; Artiodactyla; Bovidae
Exons: 3
Source: RefSeq, a predicted model, not a curated record